This 1194-nucleotide long non-coding RNA is filed under the name Pan troglodytes (chimpanzee). RNAcentral's name for it is "long non-coding RNA NONPTRT016758". The record is from RNAcentral. Lineage: Eukaryota; Metazoa; Chordata; Mammalia; Primates; Hominidae.
AAACUAUGCUGACCAGGGACACUGUAGACCUGUGGCUCAUUUUUGCAUAAAGGUUAUCUGUUUAUUGUCUGAUUUGGUCAUGCCUAUAGGCCAAUAGUGUUUUAUUUUGAAAUGUUUCAAACUUACAAUAAGGCACAAAAAUAAUAUAAUAGACACCAUGGUCUCAGCAUCACUUAAAAUGUUCCCAUCCUGCAAAUUCACACGACAAUAUUAACCUUAAAUGUAAAUGGGCUAAAUGAAAAGAACUAGAGAUGCAAGAGCAAACACAUUCAAAAACUAGCAGAAUUGCAUUUCUAGUUCUUUUAAUUGUGAUGUUAGGGUGUCAAUUUUGGAUCUUUCCUGCUUUCUCUUGCGGGCAUUUAGUGCUAUCAAUUUCCCUCUACACACUGCUUUGAAUGUGUCCCAGAGAUUCUGGUAUGUUGUGUCUUUGUUCUCAUUGGUUUCAAAGAACAUCUUUAUUUCUGCCUUCAUUUCGUUAUGUACCCAGUAGUCAUUCAGGAGCAGGUUGUUCAGUUUCUUUUGCCAACAUCUGUUAUUUUUUAACAUUUUAGUAAUAGCUAUUUUGACUGCUGUGAGGCUGUAUUGUUGUGGUUUUAAUUUGUAUUUCUCUGAUGAUUGGGGAUGUGGAGCAUUUCAUUCAUAUGCUCUUCAUCCAUUUAUAUAUCUUCUUUUGCAAAAUGUCUCUACACACCCUUUGCCCACUUUUUAGCAAGGUUAUUUGGGUUUUGUUGUUGUUGAGUGGUUCGAGCACCUUGUAGAUUCUGGAUUUAAGUCUUUAAUCCAUGCUGAGUUAAUAUUUGUAUAUGGCUAGAGACAGGAUUCAGUUUCAUUCUUCUGCAUGUGGCUAUCCAAUUUUCCCAGCACAAUUUAUUGAGCAAGAUGUCCUUUCCCUAAUGUAUGUUUUUGUCAACUUUGUCAAAGAUUAGUUGGCUGUAUGUAUGUGGCUUUAUUUCUGAGUUCUCUAUUCUGUUCUAUUGAUCUAUGUGUCUAUUUUUUUACACAAGUACCAUGCUGUUUCUGGGUACUACAGCCUUGUAGUAUAAUUUGAAGUCAGUUAAUGAGAUGUUUCCAGGUUUGUUCUUUUGCUUCAGAUUGCUGUCAUUCUUUGGGAUCUUUUUUCGGUUCCAUAUAGAUUUUAGGAUUGUGUUUUCUAAUUCUGUAAAAAAUGACAUUGGCACUUUGAUAGAAGUUGCA